UACGAAGGGGGCUAGCGUUGUUCGGAAUUACUGGGCGUAAAGCGCGCGUAGGCGGAUCGGUCAGUUAGGGGUGAAAUCCCGGGGCUCAACCCCGGAACUGCCUCUAAUACUGCCGAUCUAGAGUUCGAGAGAGGUGAGUGGAAUUCCGAGUGUAGAGGUGAAAUUCGUAGAUAUUCGGAGGAACACCAGUGGCGAAGGCGGCUCACUGGCUCGAUACUGACGCUGAGGUGCGAAAGCUAGGGGAGCAAAAGGG
This 253-nucleotide ribosomal RNA is filed under the name uncultured bacterium. Its description in RNAcentral is "partial 16S ribosomal RNA". It matches the Rfam family "Bacterial small subunit ribosomal RNA", at positions 524 to 776 of the family's 1533-position model. The record is from RNAcentral.